UACGUAGGGACCGAGCGUUGUCCGGAUUCAUUGGGCGUAAAGAGCUCGUAGGCGGCUGCUCAAGUCGAAUGUGAAACCUCGAGGCUUAACCUCGAGCCUGCAUUCGAUACUGGGCGGCUAGAGUCUGGUAGGGGAGUCUGGAAUUCCUGGUGUAGCGGUGAAAUGCGCAGAUAUCAGGAGGAACACCGGUGGCGAAGGCGGUGAUCUGGGCCGACACUGACGCUGUAGAGCGAAAGCGUGGGGAGCGAACAGG
This 253-nucleotide ribosomal RNA is filed under the name uncultured bacterium. RNAcentral describes it as "partial 16S ribosomal RNA". It matches the Rfam family "Bacterial small subunit ribosomal RNA", at positions 524 to 776 of the family's 1533-position model. The record is from RNAcentral.